AACCCAUGGUGAGGGCAUCUUCUCAAUAAGUCCUUACAUCUCUCCCAUGCAUCAUAUAAGAUUUCCAAAUCCAUUUGUACAAAGGAGGAGAUAUCAUUCCUCAGCUU
Molecule: small nucleolar RNA, 107 nt
Filed under: Gossypium hirsutum (cotton)
Lineage: Eukaryota; Viridiplantae; Streptophyta; Magnoliopsida; Malvales; Malvaceae
Description: Plant small nucleolar RNA R71
Rfam family: Plant small nucleolar RNA R71
About the family: R71 is a member of the C/D box family of snoRNAs containing the C (UGAUGA) and D (CUGA) box motifs. Multiple nearly identical copies of this snoRNA have been identified in Arabidopsis, and it is thought to function as a 2'-O-ribose methylation guide for 18S ribosomal RNA.
Source: Rfam by way of RNAcentral